This 464-nucleotide ribosomal RNA is filed under the name uncultured bacterium. RNAcentral describes it as "partial 16S ribosomal RNA". It matches the Rfam family "Bacterial small subunit ribosomal RNA", at positions 339 to 795 of the family's 1533-position model. The record is from RNAcentral.
CUACGGGUCGCAGCAGUGGGGAAUAUUGGACAAUGGGGGCAACCCUGAUCCAGCAACGCCGCGUGAAUGAAGAAGGCCUUCGGGUUGUAAAGUUCUUUUAUUCGGGAGCAAAAGUUUAGUGUGAAUAGCAUUGAAUGUUGAGAGUACCGAAGGAAUAAGCACCGGCUAACUACGUGCCAGCAGCCGCGGUAAUACGUAGGGUGCGAGCGUUAAUCGGAAUAACUGGGCGUAAAGGGUGCGUAGGCGGAUGUAUAAGUUAGAUGUGAAAAGCCUGGGCUUAACCUGGGUCGUGCAUUUAAGACUGUAUGUCUGGAGUAUGUGAGAGGGGUGUAGAAUUCCAAGUGUAGCAGUGAAAUGCGUAGAGAUUUGGAGGAAUACCGAUGGCGAAGGCAGCACCCUGGCAUAAUACUGACGCUGAGGCACGAAAGCGUGGGUAGCAAACAGGAUUAGAUACCCUUGUAGUC